GGGCCUGUGGCUCAGCCAGGUUAGACCAACGCGGACUGUUAGCGGCUGGCUCUUAACCAGCAUGCCGUGGGUUCGAAUCCCACCAGGCCCGCCA
This 94-nucleotide transfer RNA is filed under the name Nitrososphaerota archaeon. RNAcentral's name for it is "tRNA-Lys". It matches the Rfam family "tRNA". From Rfam's summary of the family: Transfer RNA (tRNA) molecules are approximately 80 nucleotides in length. Their secondary structure includes four short double-helical elements and three loops (D, anti-codon, and T loops). The record is from RNAcentral. Lineage: Archaea; Thermoproteati; Nitrososphaerota.